UGGGGAAUAUUGGACAAUGGGCGAAAGCCUGAUCCAGCCAUGCCGCGUGUGUGAAGAAGGUCUUCGGAUUGUAAAGCACUUUAAGUUGGGAGGAAGGGCAGUAAGUUAAUACCUUGCUGUUUUGACGUUACCGACAGAAUAAGCACCGGCUAACUCUGUGCCAGCAGCCGCGGUAAUACAGAGGGUGCAAGCGUUAUUCGGAUUCACUGGGCGUAAAGGGUGCGCAGGCGGUUGGGUGUGUCAGAUGUGAAAUCCCGAGGCUUAACCUCGGAACUGCGUCUGAAACUACUCGACUAGAGUAUUGGAGAGGGUAACGGAAUUCACGGUGUAGCGGUGAAAUGCGUAGAUAUCAAGAGGGACACCUGAGGUGAAGACGGGUUGCUGGGCUGACACUGACGCUGAGGCGCGAAGGCCAGGGGAGCAAACGGGAUUAGAUACCCUGGUAGUCCCUGAGCGGGCUGGCAAGGCGCAU
Molecule: ribosomal RNA, 472 nt
Filed under: uncultured bacterium
Lineage: Bacteria
Description: bacterial SSU rRNA
Rfam family: Bacterial small subunit ribosomal RNA
Source: RNAcentral